ACUUAACCUCUCUGAGUCUCUGUAAAAUGGAGGGAAAAAAUGCUUCUCUGGAAGAGUGGUUAAAUACUUGAAAGAGGCAAUGUAACUGUCUUAUGCCUAGAGCAUAGUAGGUGCUUAACAAACAGUAGCUUAUUUCUGGCAUUAUAAUUAGAUGAGGGGAAGGUCCCUCCUAGCACAGACCCUGGAAGAUUCUAUGACUCAGGGAGUGGGCAGAUUGCAUCCAUGGUCCCUGCCCUCAUUUGUAGCUACCUGAAGGGCCUGUCUCAGCAAUAAAAACAGCCAAGUGAGCACAGGCAGAGAAACAUCAUUUCCUCCUCCUCUUGAGGGCAGGAGUCCAGGCGCAGCCCCAGCAGCAGGUUGGAAUAAAUGCAGAUGCUGCAAAUUGAUGGAGGCCUGGUGUCUUCCAGAGUGGAGGUAAAGGCUGGCUGAGGAAUCAGUGAGGCCAGGAAGAGGGCUCAGCUGAGCAACUGAUCAAAGCAUCCCUCUUCAGGAAGGAGCUUCCUGUGUUUUCUCUGGGAACUCACCUGUUUUCCACUCCAGACUCUCCAAGAUAUGCAGAGCUUUGGGCCAGGAUCCUACAGCCACGGGUCAUGCAGAGCCAGUUGGCCACAUCCUUUGGGCCAAAUUUGGUCCUAACCAGGUCUUACCACGGUAACUGCUAACCAGUCCAUCUUCAGUUAAUAUUUCAUGCGAAUUGUUGAACAUCUUACCAUUUAAUCCAGAAGUUAUGUCCUUUAAGGAAUCGACCCUGAGCCUGUGAGUUUUACUUUGGGUUGGGGGUGAAGGAGUGGACCUU
RNAcentral lists this long non-coding RNA (796 nucleotides) under Homo sapiens (human). RNAcentral describes it as "long intergenic non-protein coding RNA 2177". Lineage: Eukaryota; Metazoa; Chordata; Mammalia; Primates; Hominidae. The record is from RNAcentral.